RNAcentral lists this ribosomal RNA (462 nucleotides) under uncultured bacterium. RNAcentral describes it as "partial 16S ribosomal RNA". It matches the Rfam family "Bacterial small subunit ribosomal RNA", at positions 29 to 507 of the family's 1533-position model. The record is from RNAcentral.
AACAAACGCUGGCGGCGUGCCUAAUACAUGCAAGUCGAACGGGGAAAGCUUUCGGGUGAGUACUAGUGGCGCUCGGGUGAGGAACGCGUGGAUAAUCUGCCUUAGAGUUGGGGAUAACUAGUCGCAAUAUUAGCUAAUACCUCAUAAGACCACGAGAGCUGCGGCUUUUGAGGUCAAAGGUUUUUCGCCGUAAGAUGAGUCCGCGUAAGAGUAGCUAGUUGGUGAGGUAACGGCUCACCAAGGCGACGAUCUUUAACUGGUCUGAGAGGAUGAUCAGUCACACUGGAACUGAGACACGGUGCAGACUCCUACGGGAGGCAGCAGUAGGGAAUAUUGCACAAUGGAGGAAAAUCGGAUGCAGCGACGCCGCGUGAGUGAUGAAGGCGUUCGGGUCGUAAAGCUCUGUCGAAGGAGAAUAACACAAUGAAGGUACCCUGUAAGAAAGGAUCGGCUAACUUCGUG